RNAcentral lists this transfer RNA (75 nucleotides) under Bacillus phage vB_BceM_Bc431v3. RNAcentral describes it as "Bacillus phage vB_BceM-Bc431v3 tRNA". It matches the Rfam family "tRNA". Rfam says of the family: Transfer RNA (tRNA) molecules are approximately 80 nucleotides in length. Their secondary structure includes four short double-helical elements and three loops (D, anti-codon, and T loops). Lineage: Duplodnaviria; Heunggongvirae; Uroviricota; Caudoviricetes; Herelleviridae. The record is from Rfam by way of RNAcentral.
GUGCCUGUAGCGUAGUGGUAGCGCAGUAGCCUGUUAAAAAYCUAUUGGUCGGUGGUUCGAAUCCACCCAGGUACG